Centrocercus urophasianus (Greater sage-grouse) is the source of this 1031-nucleotide long non-coding RNA. RefSeq lists it as uncharacterized. The record is from RefSeq and is a predicted model, not a curated record. The transcript has 3 exons. Lineage: Eukaryota; Metazoa; Chordata; Aves; Galliformes; Phasianidae.
AGGACAUCCUGGCUGGCUGCUGGUUGUCUCUGUUCUCUGCAAACCCCUUAGCCUCAAAUUCUUGCUUAUUUUGGUAAACUUGAAGAGACCAAAUACCAAACCUUGCUGCAACAGUGACUGGAACUUAUCAGGGCCGAACUCUGCAAGAAUAUGAAAUUAUGAAGAUUACUAUGACAGAAGAUAGCACCAAUUCACGCUGAAGUGAAGAAGUGGAGUACUCUACAUAUGCCAUAAGUUCAGUCAUCCAGCUGUGAUCUUCCCUGUACCUGAGCAAUGUCUCAACAAAAUCCCAUGUGUGCGUCUGUGUAUGUAAAUGUAUAUAUAUGGACAGAUUUGUACCAACUCUGCAUUGUUACACUUGACUUACUCUUUUUUUUAAUUAUGUAAAAAAAUCACAUUAAGCUGAAUCUAAUUACUGCAAUGUAUAUUAGAAGCAGGGCACCAUCAAAAUUUUAUUUAAAUUAAUCAGGUUUUGAUUUAAGAUAUUAAAUUCAAAUUAAUCAUGUAAAAAUGGAAAUGAUCCUUGACGUGCUUCCAGCUGUGACUUCAGUCUGUUUUCUCGUGUGAGUCACUUUCGGGAUGUCUUGGGGGGAACAUUACGAAAAUUCACGCCGGUGCUAUUUCAAUUAGAGUUAUUUAGCAGGACAGAUGUAAAGAAUACGGUAUAAUUAAGAAGGAGCUGAUGACACGGCUACAGAUUUUCAGGAUCAAAAAAAACCUGUUAGAGAAAAUUGACUACUGGUCAUGUAGUCCAAGUUCAAAUAUGCUGGGGUUAAGCACUCAUUAAUGAUGGAAUGAGGUCUUUAGAUAGACCAUUGGACUCUUUCUCCGGAGCAAUAUGCAGAAUUCUUCCCUGGAAAUAACUUUGAAGCUUCAUUAGCAAGCAGAUGAUACCUGAUAACAUAAUUUUAAAAUUCUUAAAAUAAUUUUCCACCCCCUAGUGUCUAAUCUUUAGCUGGCUAGCUAACUUCAAAGGCCUUUAGGAAAACAUGUGAGAGACAUAAAUGACCAGGUAAGAGCGCAUAUACACA